RNAcentral lists this long non-coding RNA (339 nucleotides) under Trifolium pratense (red clover). RNAcentral describes it as "long non-coding RNA (TPRA_LNC010138)". The record is from RNAcentral. Lineage: Eukaryota; Viridiplantae; Streptophyta; Magnoliopsida; Fabales; Fabaceae.
UAAUAAGGUUUUUCAAUAAAAGGGUGUAACUGUUUUUCUGUUGGUCAGAGAGAAAAUAAAAAUGAUAAAAAGGAAAGUAAUUAAACGAGAUUAUUUUUAACCAAAAGAACGGUGAAUGAAAGUGAAACAAUGAAGACAGGAACAUGGAAAUUUAGUACAGAACAGAGGUGAAGAGAGAAGGUGUGUUUUUUGGUUUGGUUUGAGACACACAGCGAAGAAUCAGGGUGGGACCUACCAAAUACGUUGUUGUUACAGAAACAAUUCCAACAUGGAAAGAGAAAAUUGAGAGAGAGAAAGUCACAGAUUUGUGAGCUGGUGCGCACGAUAAGUAUGUGUAUG